RNAcentral lists this ribosomal RNA (484 nucleotides) under uncultured bacterium. RNAcentral's name for it is "partial 16S ribosomal RNA". It matches the Rfam family "Bacterial small subunit ribosomal RNA", at positions 28 to 523 of the family's 1533-position model. The record is from RNAcentral.
GACGAACGCUGGCGGCGUGCUUAACACAUGCAAGUCGAACGAUGAACCCGGAGCUUGCUCCGGUGGAUUAGUGGCGAACGGGUGAGUAACACGUGAGUAACCUGCCCUUGACUCUGGGAUAACUGCGGGAAACUGUAGCUAAUACCGGAUACGACCCUCGGCGGCAUCGCCAGGGGGUGGAAAGAAUUUCGGUCAAGGAUGGACUCGCGGCCUAUCAGCUAGUUGGUGAGGUAACGGCUCACCAAGGCGACGACGGGUAGCCGGCCUGAGAGGGUGACCGGCCACACCGGGACUGAGAUACGGCCCAGACUCCUACGGGAGGCAGCAGUGGGGAAUAUUGUACAAUGGGCGCAAGCCUGAUGCAGCGACGCCGCGUGAGGGAUGACGGCCUUCGGGUUGUAAACCUCUUUCACCAGGGACGAAGCGCAAGUGACGGUACCUGGAGAAGAAGCACCGGCCAACUACGUGCCAGCAGCCGCGGUAA